Molecule: ribosomal RNA, 301 nt
Filed under: uncultured bacterium
Lineage: Bacteria
Description: partial 16S ribosomal RNA
Rfam family: Bacterial small subunit ribosomal RNA
Source: RNAcentral
CAGUCGCCGCGGUAACACCGAGGGUGCGAGCGUUAAUCGGAUUUACUGGGCGUAAAGCGUGCGUAGGCGGCUUCUUAAGUCGGAUGUGAAAUCCCUGAGCUUAACUUAGGAAUUGCAUUCGAUACUGGGAAGCUAGAGUAUGGGAGAGGAUGGUAGAAUUCCAGGUGUAGCGGUGAAAUGCGUAGAGAUCUGGAGGAAUACCGAUGGCGAAGGCAGCCAUCUGGCCUAAUACUGACGCUGAGGUACGAAAGCAUGGGGAGCAAACAGGAUUAGAUACCCCUGUAGUCCCUGUCUCUUAUAC